GCAGUAGAGCAGUUCCCUGGGCCACUUCAGGAGAACAGAAAGAACACUUAACAGGAGAGACCCCUGAGGACUAUUUUUAUAUUAAUGGCUAAACUCACUGCUGAAGUCAGGUGGGAAUUUGGCCAGGACUCUGCUAAAUCUCAGGUGCUUGAUGUAGCUCCUUUUAGACAACAGGUUUUCUGAAGCAUGUAUAGGCCAACUUCACAGAAUUUGAUGGGGAGCAAAUCUUCAGCAGGAGGAGGCAAAUACCAAGAGGGGUCCUUGAUGGUCUUUGUAGAAACCAGGAGUACUAGGGUCAAACUGGAUCUUUCCACUAAAGGAGCCAAAUGAGCUUCAUGUUUCAGCUGGUUGAUGCCAAUGGCAAAGAGACCUUCAGAUGCACUUCGAGAAAGAUGUAUGAUCAAGGAGUAAUAAGCUUUUCUCCAUUAGUGUAACAAGUCAAAAUAUCAUUUAAUUUAUUUCUGAAAGUUUUUUUUUUUUCUCUUUUACUGUAACAGAUCUAGCUCAUCACUUAACUUCAUUCACCAAACAUUAUGCACUAGCAUUUUACUAUAAUUUUAGGAAGAGAAAGGAGAAGCAUUUCAGGGGUGAUUCAUUGAUAUUCCUGAAAAUAGGAUCCUUGCUUCAGGAUUCUUAAAAUGUUAAGCAAGGUGGAUACUGAAUGCAGUACAAGUGAAUAACGAGGUUACGGUCUUCUGUUGCUAUUUUAACUGCAUGUUGUACAGAUAAAUGCUUACAAAAUCCACAGAAAGCAUUUUGAAAUUUCAAAGAAGAGAUAGAAAGUAUAAUUGAUGCCACCAUUGAAGGCCAAAGAGAAGCAAUGAAAAUAGAGUAAAAUACCAGUAAAUAUUAAUGUAAUACUACUAAGAUUCUAUGACGAUCUGUGCUAUAUAUAAUUAGGGUCAUUUUCUCAUGUCAUAGAUUAUCUGCAUGAGAAAAUGCAAGUAUAUAGAUGUUAUAAUCUCUAGAUUCUUGGUUCCAUACAGAAGAAAGAAACUUAUUGUGAGUUCAGUUUUUCAGUCAUCUUAAUAACUUAUGGAUGUUAUGGUAUCUUUUUGGUCAAAAACAAGAAGUCUGGGGACAUAGAGAAGAUAAUUGACAUAAUUUAGAUUGAAAUUGGGGGGGUACUAAAGAUUAUACUGUGAAUCUAGAUAAAAUGGGCAUUUAUAUACAGUAUUACAAAAAUGAAUAAACAUAGUACAGGUAGUAUAAACA
This 1215-nucleotide long non-coding RNA is filed under the name Bos indicus x Bos taurus (hybrid cattle). RNAcentral's name for it is "lncRNA (ENSBIXG00000026896.1)". Lineage: Eukaryota; Metazoa; Chordata; Mammalia; Artiodactyla; Bovidae. The record is from RNAcentral.